Molecule: ribosomal RNA, 406 nt
Filed under: uncultured bacterium
Lineage: Bacteria
Description: bacterial SSU rRNA
Rfam family: Bacterial small subunit ribosomal RNA
Source: RNAcentral
AUCAGGAAUCUUGCGCAAUGGGGGAAACCCUGACGCAGCGACGUCGCGUGGAGGAUGACGGCCUUCGGGUUGCAAACUCCUUUUAGCGGGGAAGAGACAGGACGGUACCCGCUGAAUAAGCCCCGGCUAACUCCGUGCCAGCAGCCGCGGUAAUACGGAGGGGGCGAGCGUUGUCCGAAUUUAUUGGGCGUAAAGCGCGUGUAGGCGGAUGGACAAGCCUGAGGUGAAAGGUUGGGGCUCAACCCCAUACAGUGCCUUGGGGACUGUUCGUCUGGAGGCCGGCAGAGGAGAGUGGAAUUCCUGGUGUAGCGGUGGAAUGCGUAGAGAUCAGGAAGAACACCCAUGGCGAAGGCAGCUCUCUGGGCCGGUACUGACGCUGAGACGCGAAAGCGCGGGGAGCGAACGG